Long non-coding RNA from Corvus moneduloides (New Caledonian crow), 2793 nucleotides. Lineage: Eukaryota; Metazoa; Chordata; Aves; Passeriformes; Corvidae. The record is from Ensembl.
GUGGGGGCCAAGAGGAUGGUGCCAGACUCUUUUCGAUGUUUCCCAGCAACAGGAUGAGGAGCAAUGACCAUAAACUAAAACAGAAAAAGUUUCACCUCAACAGGACGGAAAGCUUAUACACACUGAGGGUGGCAGAGCACUGGGACAGGCUGCCCUGGGAGGUCACGGAGUCUCACCUGGACGCGUUCCUGUAUCACCUGCUCCAGGUGACCCUGCCUUGUUAGGGGGUUGGAUGGGAUCAUCUCCAGAGGUCCCUUCCAACCUUGACAAUUCUGUGAUUCUCCCAUUUUCCCGUCUUUUAUCCUGGUGCUCUGCUCCGUGUGUCUGACCGCCCCAUUCGCCCGUGGGCUGCGCUCUCUCCGCCUCCUCCCGUGCUAAUGGAGCCUCCCCGCUGCGCUGUCAGGGCUGACCAGCGCGUCCGGCACCGGCUCCGCACGGGCAGGGACAGCGCUUUGAUUGCUGAAGAUUGCUACGGAACGAGCGAGAAUUAUAGGCAUGGCACUUCUGUUUGACUAUUAUUAAUAACAUAGUGUCAUCUGUUAAUACCACAAUGCCGUGCUCCGCACAGCAGCGGAGUGCCCGUCUGCCUGUCCAUUGCUCUGGAUUGAAGGUGUAGGUUUGGAAACUGAGUAACACAGCAGGGAGACCACGCCAGCCUUUAGCCCUGAGGUUCUGCUGCAAACGUCAAAGCGCAAGGCCCAGAGUCCUGCUGUCUGCCUGACGCUUUGUGAAAGAUUUUCUGCCAUCCCCUGUGCUUGUAGAAUGUGCCAGUGACCUCGGGGGCUCCCAGAGGACCCAGUAGCCAAAGCCAGCUGCCUUUUGGCUGCUUAAGGUCUAGGAUUCACAAGCCCUCACACAAGCAGUUUAGUGUCAGAUGUGACCACUGGCUAAGGAACUUACAAUUUUGCUGGCUCUUGCACUGGAAGACAGAAUUUUCCUUCCUUGCUGUAUAUUUUCUUUGUGCUUCCCUCUCAGAGCUAAAGGAGAACUAGGUGUGUCCCAGCUUGGACAUCACGGAGAGUGAAAUCAAAGAUCUGUUUGAUUUUCCUGAUCCUUUCUGCAGAAUCCUGGCUGUACUUUCCCUUAACUGUGUCUUCGACAAACUGAACAGAAGGUGUGAAGUACAUGUGACUGGCAGGUGGCAUAUCAACGUUCAUGGUACUCACAAGAGAAUCUAUCUGACUUACAGUGGGCAUUGUUUGACUCCCUGGCUGAGUUAUAAAACAGAACCACGGGAAAAAGUAAAGUCUAAGAUUCCCCUGUAUGAAAAGGAGUCUGGGUCAUAUGUGUGCUUCCAGUUCUACCUGUCCUGCUUUGGAAUACCAUGCAACACUUCUCCAAAGACAAAAUGUAUGAGAGGAAAUACCAUCAAGCCAAGAUGUUUUUCCUCCAAUUCAUGUACUCCUACAUGUCCAUUCUUGUGUCUAAGGCCCCAUUUCAGUCACUGGUGCUAGCUGAAAUGUUUUAUGAGCUUUUAAAGUAGUGUUCUGUAAUGGUAUUCUUUCAAAUAAAGAAUACCAUUGUGAAAUUUCUGUCAUUUGGGUUGUGGAAGUGACAUCAGCUGUAUAACAAUGAUUCAUGUGAUCAUGGCCUGAUCCUUUCAGAAGAUCACCAUUGCUAACAAUGCUCUUCACAUGCAAAGAGUGGUAGGAUUUAGCCAGGGGCUGCAGCUUACCAAGAAGGGCUCUGGUGCCAGUGGUACUGAUUCCCUUCAGCAGGAAUCCCAGUUGCUUAAGUUCAACUGCAGUUAGAAGUGCUUCAUUCUCAGGAAAACAAACCUGAGAUGGAUAAACCAAAGCUCAGCCUCUAAAUUAUACUGUAGGGCCUUUUAUUUUAAGCCAGCUGGUGCUGAAGUGUGCUUUCCCCAGAAAGGCUGAGUUACUGUUCAUUGGUGUGACCAUUCAACCACUGAAGGUGCAGAAUCUCUUCAUUAAAUUAUGGCAAAUAAUGGGCCACAGGAUAAGACAGCACAACUGUGUAGCUGCUUCUGAGUCUUUCAGAAAUAAUGAUACUUCUUCACCUAAAAUGUCCAAUUAAUACCAAAUCAUGUCUGAAAAUGUAACAGUAACAAAAUAAUGUUUUCUUGGUGGAUGCAUAUGGUUUUCCUAACUACUGUUUAUAUGCUCCUAUCAAACUUGCUGGCACUUGUUCACACCCUCAACUACUUGUGCAGUUAUUAAAUAGCUGACAAAAGUGUAAAACUAUUAGCUAUUAGCUAAAUACAACUAUGUAAAAGUAAUAGUUACAUUAAUACAUUUUUAAUGAACAUUUUUUCCUAAAGCAGAAUAACAAAACCCAAAAUUGCUGUAUGGCUGCUGCACCUAGGAAAAAGUCAAGUUUAAUGAUAAAUCUGGCCUUAGAGAACCAGCCAGAAUGGAUAGAGUUUGAAUAGGAUUUAAAAACCCAACUGUGUGCAGAAAUUAGAGUUUUGCCCCUGAAUCAUAUGGAAUUACAGUGCUGGAUGCGUGUGCCAUGCCUACACAAUAAAGCCCAGAGGAAGCAGCUAUUUCUGUUGGUUUUAUUAAACCAACCAAGCAAUUUAAUUCUUUUGUUCAGGAGAGUUCUACUUCAUUGAUUAACAAAAGCAGGGAUAUAAUUUUUUCAGCCUUUUUGAAAAGCCUGAAAUGUCAAGCCUUUUAAAGCAGAUUAUUCUGCCUCUGUGCAGUGAAUACAGCCAGAGUAACCUUUUGUCUACAAUUAAAUAUUCUAGCAUAAAUAUAAAAGAAAAUCAGAGAUGGGAAAGAUUGACUCACGAGAGAUUGGAGAGGUAGAUUCGCACGGUGAUAGUGCAAG